Molecule: long non-coding RNA, 339 nt
Filed under: Vigna radiata
Lineage: Eukaryota; Viridiplantae; Streptophyta; Magnoliopsida; Fabales; Fabaceae
Description: long non-coding RNA (VRAD_LNC014220)
Source: RNAcentral
UUGGGGGUCUUCCUGAUGGUUCAAUCGUCUUUCUUCUUACGUAGAGAGGACUGAACCAUGUGGUGAGGAGUAGGAGGAGGUCUUACUCUUGGAGGCUUCCAUCAUGCUCCAGGGCGCGGAACAGACUAACCUCGUGAGUUUGGCAGGGCGGUGGAGCCAAAGUAUCACAAGCCACCACGGGUGCAUGACCCGCCAUAGCUCGACUAUCAUUCUAAAGUUCGGACGAGUCAAGUCUAGUAUUUAACAUCAUAGGAUGAAUAUUUUAUCUUGUUUGCUUUAAAUUAAUAUCUUGUAUGUACAUGCUCUUAAUUGUGUGUUUUUUAUAUAAUUAGCUCACCC